UCAAAGUACAGUGCAACAUGUGUCCUCAUUUUAUGGUUCUUGAAUUCCAUGGCUCAGAAAUAAUCGGAUCUGGCCCUGCUGUGCUUGGUGCAACACCGGGGUAAGGGUGCUGCCUAAUCAAUGCAGAAUGCUUUGAGAGACAUCAAUUAAUGAUGGCAGAAG
Long non-coding RNA from Mauremys reevesii (Reeves's turtle), 162 nucleotides. RefSeq lists it as uncharacterized. NCBI's taxonomy places the organism in Eukaryota, Metazoa, Chordata, Testudines, Geoemydidae. The record is from RefSeq and is a predicted model, not a curated record. The transcript is spliced from 3 exons.